AAUUGCACUAGUCCCGGCCUG
This 21-nucleotide non-coding RNA is filed under the name Drosophila melanogaster (fruit fly). Lineage: Eukaryota; Metazoa; Arthropoda; Insecta; Diptera; Drosophilidae. RNAcentral also lists the same sequence under 1 other name. The record is from RNAcentral.